Molecule: non-coding RNA, 100 nt
Filed under: uncultured Muricomes sp.
Lineage: Bacteria; Bacillati; Bacillota; Clostridia; Lachnospirales; Lachnospiraceae
Source: RNAcentral
UUUAAAUGGGGUGCUGGUAUAAACCGGCUGAGAGUAAGGCUGAUAUGUCUUUAACCCAAAUACCUGAUCUGGAUAAUGCCAGCGUAGGAAAGUAGAUGAU